This 69-nucleotide ribosomal RNA is filed under the name Bacillus subtilis. Its description in RNAcentral is "partial 23S ribosomal RNA". The record is from RNAcentral. Lineage: Bacteria; Bacillati; Bacillota; Bacilli; Caryophanales; Bacillaceae.
GUCUGAGGUGGAAGUGUGGCGACACAUGGAGCUGACAGAUACUAAUCGAUCGAGGACUUAACCAUAUUU